GUUUGAGUACCUCGUGUGUAGUGACUGUAGAUCUGCAGCGCUUCAGAACUUUCCCCGUUUCUCCUGGAUUCACACUCAGCCUGAUUCUACAGCAGCAGAUCCCCCUCUCUCAAAAACUUCACCAGCCUCCUUCAGUCCCCUCGUCAUCAUGAGCAGCGAAGACAAAAACAAAGAGGAGCGGAUCUCAGAGCCCGUCUCUGAACAGCCACGGUCAUCAUCGCCGUGUCCACCGUGUGACUGCUCAUGUGAUGGUGCAAAUCAGGUGUGCUCAUAUUCCUGUGAGAUGUGAGGGGCAGAGAGAGGCUGCAUUUGCGCAGAACCCAGAAUCCCUGCUGAAGUGGGAACAGUGCAUCUGCAAUCAGAAACAGCCCUACCUGGAAACCAGCUGAAGUCAAUAUACACACAAAUGCGUCUCGAAGUUCCUGCGUCUUACAUCUUUCUCUUCUUUUCCAUUUCAUUAGAUUUGUCUAAACUAUUGCUGUGUUAUGUGUGCGUUGUAUUGACCAGUAGUAACUCAUGCACCGAAGCUCCAAUGCGGAGUUUGAAGGAUGCUGGAGCUUCAGGACACUCAACUGGCUACUGGGAUGGAGCUUAGCGCCUGUGAGCGAUGAGGUCUCGGGAUUUGCUCCCGCUGGCCGCAGGAUGACCAUUUUACAUGAUAAAUUCGUCCCAUCAUACUGACAGCUAAAGACAAUCAACAUUAAGGGGGUGUACAUUACCGUUACUGUAUAUCUGUAUAAUUCAUCUCCAAAACAACAUCAUGUUCCAUGAAAUGGGUCCAUGAUUGUGACGCAUAACCAGGUUCUAGGAUGUUGCUGGGAUGAAUCUGACAAACGUUUCAUGAGGACAGAG
Molecule: long non-coding RNA, 852 nt
Organism: Pygocentrus nattereri (red-bellied piranha)
Lineage: Eukaryota; Metazoa; Chordata; Actinopteri; Characiformes; Serrasalmidae
Exons: 4
Source: RefSeq, a predicted model, not a curated record